This 264-nucleotide unclassified non-coding RNA is filed under the name Hypocreales sp. RNAcentral describes it as "partial contains 5.8S ribosomal RNA, internal transcribed spacer 2, and large subunit ribosomal RNA". Lineage: Eukaryota; Fungi; Ascomycota; Sordariomycetes; Hypocreales. The record is from RNAcentral.
CGCACAUUGCGCCCGCCAGCAUUCUGGCGGGCAUGCCUGUCCGAGCGUCAUUUCAACCCUCAAGCCCCCCCUUUCGGGGGCUUGGUGUUGGGGAUCGGCCCUAACCGGCUGCCCCCUAAAUCCAGUGGCGGUCUCGCCGCAGCUUCCUCUGCGUAGUAGUAACAUCUCGCACUGGGACGCGGCGCGGCCACGCCGUAAAGCGGGCGCAAGCCCAAUUUUCUCAAGGUUGACCUCGGAUCAGGUAGGAAUACCCGCUGAACUUAA